Molecule: transfer RNA, 100 nt
Filed under: Pararobbsia silviterrae
Lineage: Bacteria; Pseudomonadati; Pseudomonadota; Betaproteobacteria; Burkholderiales; Burkholderiaceae
Rfam family: tRNA
About the family: Transfer RNA (tRNA) molecules are approximately 80 nucleotides in length. Their secondary structure includes four short double-helical elements and three loops (D, anti-codon, and T loops).
Source: Rfam by way of RNAcentral
GCAGCCGUAGCUCAGUCAGGUAGAGCACCCCGUCGAGGGGGAGACUGGAAUUCCAGGCACGCGGCGCCGUGUGGCACGGGUUCAAAUCCCGUCGGCUGCU